AUCGCUUCUCGGCCUUUUGGCUAAGAUCAAGUGUAAACAUAACAUAGAAAUGGAUUUUAGAGGAAGAGAAAUUGCAGAAUUAUGAAGGGUAACUGACACAGGUUUCUCCUUUGUGCCUAAGUUGUGUUGUGAUUCUGUGAAGUAAAGAAAAAUA
This 154-nucleotide small nuclear RNA is filed under the name Sus scrofa (pig). RNAcentral's name for it is "U2 spliceosomal RNA (ENSSSCG00030067786.1)". It matches the Rfam family "U2 spliceosomal RNA". From Rfam's summary of the family: U2 is a small nuclear RNA (snRNA) component of the spliceosome (involved in pre-mRNA splicing). Complementary binding between U2 snRNA (in an area lying towards the 5' end but 3' to hairpin I) and the branchpoint sequence (BPS) of the intron results the bulging out of an unpaired adenosine, on the BPS, which initiates a nucleophilic attack at the intronic 5' splice site, thus starting the first of two transesterification reactions that mediate splicing. The record is from RNAcentral. Lineage: Eukaryota; Metazoa; Chordata; Mammalia; Artiodactyla; Suidae.